This 1612-nucleotide ribosomal RNA is filed under the name Pasteurella multocida. RNAcentral's name for it is "partial 23S ribosomal RNA". It matches the Rfam family "Bacterial large subunit ribosomal RNA", at positions 1332 to 2925 of the family's 2925-position model. Lineage: Bacteria; Pseudomonadati; Pseudomonadota; Gammaproteobacteria; Pasteurellales; Pasteurellaceae. The record is from RNAcentral.
GUUCGCCGGAAGACCAAGGGUUCCUGUCCAACGUUAAUCGGGGCAGGGUGAGUCGGCCCCUAAGGCGAGGCUGAAAAGCGUAGUCGAUGGGAAACGGGUUAAUAUUCCCGUACUUGGUAAAGCUGCGAUGUGGGGACGGAGAAGGUUAGGUAAGCGGACUGUUGGAUAUGUUCGUUUAAGCAGGUAGUUGGAAAGGGUAGGCAAAUCCGCUCUUUCAUACAACAACGAGACGUGAUGACGAGGCUCUACGGAGCUGAAGUUACCGAUACCCAGCUUCCAGGAAAAGCCACUAAGCGAAAGGCUUUACUAAACCGUACUGAAAACCGACACAGGUGGUCAGGUAGAGAAUACUCAGGCGCUUGAGAGAACUCGGGUGAAGGAACUAGGCAAAAUAGCACCGUAACUUCGGGAGAAGGUGCGCUUACAGUAAUUGUAGUCCCUUGCGGAUGAAGGUGAAGUAAGUCGAAGAUACCAGCUGGCUGCAACUGUUUAUUAAAAACACAGCACUCUGCAAACACGAAAGUGGACGUAUAGGGUGUGAUGCCUGCCCGGUGCUGGAAGGUUAAUUGAUGGUGUUAUCGAAAGAGAAGCUCCUGAUCGAAGCCCCAGUAAACGGCGGCCGUAACUAUAACGGUCCUAAGGUAGCGAAAUUCCUUGUCGGGUAAGUUCCGACCUGCACGAAUGGCAUAAUGAUGGCCAGGCUGUCUCCACCCGAGACUCAGUGAAAUUGAAAUCGCCGUGAAGAUGCGGUGUACCCGCGGCUAGACGGAAAGACCCCGUGAACCUUUACUAUAGCUUGACACUGAACAUUGAAUUUUGAUGUGUAGGAUAGGUGGGAGCCUUUGAAGCAGUGACGCCAGUCAUUGUGGAGGCGACCUUGAAAUACCACCCUUUAACGUUUGAUGUUCUAACGAAGUGCCUGAAACGGGUACUCGGACAGUGUCUGGUGGGUAGUUUGACUGGGGCGGUCUCCUCCCAAAGCGUAACGGAGGAGCACGAAGGUUUGCUAAUGACGGUCGGACAUCGUCAGGUUAGUGCAAUGGUAUAAGCAAGCUUAACUGCGAGACGGACAAGUCGAGCAGGUGCGAAAGCAGGUCAUAGUGAUCCGGUGGUUCUGAAUGGAAGGGCCAUCGCUCAACGGAUAAAAGGUACUCCGGGGAUAACAGGCUGAUACCGCCCAAGAGUUCAUAUCGACGGCGGUGUUUGGCACCUCGAUGUCGGCUCAUCACAUCCUGGGGCUGAAGUAGGUCCCAAGGGUAUGGCUGUUCGCCAUUUAAAGUGGUACGCGAGCUGGGUUUAGAACGUCGUGAGACAGUUCGGUCCCUAUCUGCCGUGGGCGUUGGAUGAUUGAUUGGGGCUGCUCCUAGUACGAGAGGACCGGAGUGGACGCAUCACUGGUGUUCCAGUUGUCUCGCCAGAGGCAUUGCUGGGUAGCUAAAUGCGGAAGAGAUAAGUGCUGAAAGCAUCUAAGCACGAAACUUGCCAAGAGAUGAGUCAUCCCUGACUUUAAGUCAGUAAGGGUUGUUGUAGACUACGACGUAGAUAGGUUGGGUGUGUAAGUGUAGUGAUACAUUGAGCUAACCAAUACUAAUUGCCCGAGAGGCUUAACCAU